RNAcentral lists this ribosomal RNA (118 nucleotides) under Enterocloster bolteae. Lineage: Bacteria; Bacillati; Bacillota; Clostridia; Lachnospirales; Lachnospiraceae. The record is from RNAcentral.
UCUGGUGCCGAUGCGCUUAGGGGAAACACCCGUACCCAUCCCGAACACGAUGGUUAAGACCUAAGCGGCCGAUGGUACUAUGCUGGAGACGGCAUGGGAGAGCAGGUGGCUGCCGGAU